RNAcentral lists this long non-coding RNA (893 nucleotides) under Gallus gallus (chicken). Its description in RNAcentral is "lncRNA (ENSGALG00010004218.1)". Lineage: Eukaryota; Metazoa; Chordata; Aves; Galliformes; Phasianidae. The record is from RNAcentral.
CAUUAAUUGUGCCAAGAAAUACAGAGAGACCCAUAACAAAACUCAGGAUGCAAGUAAAGUUUUGAGUUUUGUUGCUUAAUUUCAUCUUUCCCCACAUAAAUUAUACUGCAGUACAUAUUCCUAACCCUCUAAAAUAACACUAAUUUUCUGAAGUAUUUGCUUCCUUAUGUAUUAGCCACACGUUCUAUUUUUAUCUCAGUGGUGAAUCCAAGAAGUCAAAUUACCCAUUACUAAUGGUCAUGUGGCUGCAAUGGCUGAGAGUCCAGAAAAUGCAGAGAAAUGUCUGAAAAUGUCUUUGGGAAAGUACAAGAAAAGCAGAAGUGUGUGCACUCUGCAGUAAAUGAUUAGAUGAAGUAAUCUAGAUACAUAUUUUUUUUGAAAGCUCUUUAAAGAGAAACAUUAAUGACGAUUCUCUUUAUGGAUUUUCAUUCUGGCACUGCUUAUUCAUCUAACUUGAAACUACAUUACACAGUCACAUUACUCAGACUCCAACAGUGAUACAUACAAGAGCAAAUGCACACCAGCUUGUGUUGCGGCCAUGAAAAAGGAUCUUCUUUGGUUGAUUCUCUUUUGAAAGCAGAUUUGUUUUAAGACCACUGAAAUGUAUAAGCUAUGAAGAGGAGAAGAAGCGAUAUCUCCACUGGACUUCUUACUUUCGACAUCUGGCUGUGGUCCACUGGGAGAAAUUUGCUCAUCUACUUCAGAUGCAAGUCACAAAACCAUUUCUGAUGUGUUUACAAACUAGUCUGGAAAAGCCUCAUCAAACCAAAAUAAAGAGGUGGAUGUUUUUUUGUUGGUUGGUUGUUUUUUCUUCUCCUUUUUCAAUAAAAGAAGAGGCAUUCUGAAUUCUUCCUCCAAGAUCAUCAGUCAUUUUCUGAACUGCUUGGUUAGAA